AGGUGGAAGGCCAAGAUGAUUACUUCCUGGCUUUUGAGAAGCUUGGGACGAGUUUGGAGGAUUUUGUCAAUGAACAUAAAAAAUUGUUUUGUAAUAAUAGACAUCUGAUUUCCAGUCUAUAUCAGAAUAUUCUUAUUGAUUUAAUCCGAUUAUGUCAGCAUCUAAAGACAGUGGAAGUGAAACCUCUAUUGAGCUUGACAAACAUUUUUGUCUUGCGCAAUAGCAAUGACAAUGAUUCUCUGCAUCUUACCGUAGUAGAUUUUGAUUUUAGAGAUGGUCCCAACAUGGAUUGUGUUCUGUUGGCAAUGCUAGUUGAGCAAAUUAAUGACGCUUGUGACUAUGAACCGUGUGGAAGUCUAGAAAUGCACACAUUCGUGGGUUGUUUGAAGACGGCUUACGAGAAUUUCUUUGCCG
Non-coding RNA from Camellia sinensis, 414 nucleotides. Lineage: Eukaryota; Viridiplantae; Streptophyta; Magnoliopsida; Ericales; Theaceae. The record is from RefSeq and is a predicted model, not a curated record.